This is a long non-coding RNA of Bos taurus (domestic cattle), 1389 nucleotides long. NCBI's taxonomy places the organism in Eukaryota, Metazoa, Chordata, Mammalia, Artiodactyla, Bovidae. The record is from Ensembl.
GGUAAAACAGAGGUCAGGUCACUCAUCUGAGCUCCACAUUACUCUUACAGAGCUGAGGCUUCUCAGAGAAUAAUGUGGAAAAUGCUCUUCGAACAUAAAUGUAACUGGUUCACAAACUGUAACUUGGCCAGCCUCUUCUGGGAGAGGGGGCAUAGUGUCAUUGGCUCUCUAUUGUGGUUUGCAGGGCAGCAAGGGGCAGAGGGAUCAUGAGCAACAGCUGUCUCCAGGCUCUUGAACUACUUGGCAGGGCAUUUGUGCAUGUCUCAAGCCUGUUCCUUAGGAGCUGUGCCCUUAUUUGAGCCAGAACUACACAAAGGCAUUGUCCUCAAACACUGGGUCUCCUCUUUCUUGACUGGCCCUGUUUACCCAUUCAUCAGCAGGUGGUGGCUGGAACAUUCCCCUUUGAUUUUGUGGUUCAGGAGCGGCAAGCUAAGACCUAAGCUGAAUAAACAUAGUAUCAUUUGGCACUGGCAAGAUUCCUGGUAGUCCGGGUCAGGAGAGGUUUAAGGAGGAUUAGGUUUAGAUUAGAAAAGGGGUUGAGUUAUUUUUUUUCCCUGUGGUUUCUCUUAAGUGCCUUAGGGUUUUGUAAGAGGAAAGUGGGCUGACAGCCUGGACUCAGUUGCUCCAGAGAUAAAAGUGGUGAGCUCAGUGUUCUUUUCUGGACCAUCAGGAGGGUAUGUUCUUCUCCUGAACAUGGUUUUUCCCAUGAGACUCAUGAGUUCCUGGGAAUCUGCUGAAAGCUCUAAACCUUUUCUCUAGAAAACUGGGGGCAUCUGUGCACAAGCACGCACGGGCAGGUACACAAGGGCACGCCCACACCUGCUUGCGCGUGCGCAUACAUCUGAUUUGACUUACUCGCAGGCGUUCCUGAAAUUCACCAGCCAGAAAAUUUUCAAGAGCCUACACAACUCACUUUUCAGAGAGACCUCACCCUUCCCAGAGUGAUUUGCUACCAUGUAUUGAGAGAAGACUGGAUGAUGCUACAUUGCCACAUGAUACCAUAAGAACUCAAUGUUUUAUGACCCCAGACAGAUCCACAGUCACCCUCCUCCCAACUCCACAAGAGGCCUUCCAAGACCAGCAGAUAAAUCUGGCUCAGGCUCAAGGAAGGAAGUCAGCUGCAUUUGCUCUGCGUGCUGGUGUGCACGAGACCUUGUGUGUGCCCUCUAGAAGUGGAGCCCCUGUUUCCUACCAUCCCCCACCCCUGUCCUGUGGAGCUCCUACAAUCAGGCCCCACUGGCCUUCAAAGCCAGAUCUGCUGAGGGCUCCUCCAUUCAAUGCCAGGCCCCUAGACUGGGUAGCCUGAUGUGGAACUCAGAGCUCUCAGCUCUGUGGGAGAAUUUCUGUGAUGUAAUUAGUCUCUAGAUUGUGGGUCACCCACCCAGGUAG